AUUAAACGCUGGCGGCAUGCCUUACACAUGCAAGUCGAACGGCAGCACGGGGGCAACCCUGGUGGCGAGUGGCGGACGGGUGAGUAAAGCAUCGGAACGUAUCCUGGAGUGGGGGAUAACGUAGCGAAAGUUACGCUAAUACCGCAUAUUCUGUGAGCAGGAAAGCAGGGGAUCGCAAGACCUUGCGCUCUGGGAGCGGCCGAUGUCGGAUUAGCUAGUUGGUGGGGUAAAGGCCUACCAAGGCGACGAUCCGUAGCGGGUCUGAGAGGAUGAUCCGCCACACUGGGACUGAGACACGGCCCAGACUCCUACGGGAGGCAGCAGUGGGGAAUUUUGGGACAAUGGGCGGAAGCCUGAUCCAGCCAUGCCGCGUGAGUGAAGAAGGCCUUCGGUUGUAAGG
This 400-nucleotide ribosomal RNA is filed under the name uncultured bacterium. RNAcentral describes it as "bacterial SSU rRNA". It matches the Rfam family "Bacterial small subunit ribosomal RNA", at positions 29 to 430 of the family's 1533-position model. The record is from RNAcentral.